Molecule: ribosomal RNA, 521 nt
Filed under: uncultured Glomeraceae
Lineage: Eukaryota; Fungi; Glomeromycota; Glomeromycetes; Glomerales; Glomeraceae
Description: SSU rRNA
Rfam family: Eukaryotic small subunit ribosomal RNA
Source: RNAcentral
AGCAGCCGCGGUAAUUCCAGCUCCAAUAGCGUAUAUUAAAGUUGCUGCAGUUAAAAAGCUCGUAGUUGAAUUUCGGGACCAAUAUUUCGGUCGUGCCUCGGUACGUACUGGCAUCGUUGGUUUCUCCCUUCUGACGAACCAUGAUGUCAUUUAUUUGGUGUCGUGGGGAAUCAGGACUGUUACUUUGAAAAAAUUAGAGUGUUUAAAGCAGGCUCACGCUUGAAUACAUUAGCAUGGAAUAAUGAAAUAGGACGUUUGAUUCUAUUUUGUUGGUUUCUAGGAUCGACGUAAUGAUUAAUAGGGAUAGUUGGGGGCAUUAGUAUUCAAUUGUCAGAGGUGAAAUUCUUGGAUUUAUUGAAGACUAACUACUGCGAAAGCAUUUGCCAAGGAUGUUUUCAUUAAUCAAGAACGAAAGUUAGGGGAUCGAAGACGAUCAGAUACCGUCGUAGUCUUAACCAUAAACUAUGCCGACUAGGGAUCGGAUGAUGUUAAUUUUUUAAUGACUCAUUCGGCGCCUUACG